Molecule: ribosomal RNA, 407 nt
Filed under: uncultured bacterium
Lineage: Bacteria
Description: partial 16S ribosomal RNA
Rfam family: Bacterial small subunit ribosomal RNA
Source: RNAcentral
AUUGAACGCUGGCGGCAGGCCUAACACAUGCAAGUCGAGCGGAGCGGCGGACGGGUGAGUAAUGCCUAGGAAUCUGCCUGGGAGUGGGGGAUAACGUCCGGAAACGGGCGCUAAUACCGCAUACUAUCAGAUUAGGCUAUGUCGGAUUAGCUAGUGGGUGGGGUAAAGGCCUACCAAGGCGACGAUCCGUAGCUGGUCUGAGAGGAUGAGCAGUCACACUGGAACUGAGACACGGUCCAGACUCCUACGGGAGGCAGCAGUGGGGAAUAUUGCACAAUGGGCGCAAGCCUGAUGCAGCCAUGCCGCGUGUGUGAAGAAGGUCUUCGGGUUGUAAAGCACUUUAAGUUGGGAGGCGUUACCAGCAGAAUAAGCACCGGCUAACUCCGUGCCAGCAGCCGCGGUAAUUC